UGGAAAACAGUGCUCCGAUUACAAGCUGGUCGCUGUGCCUCAUUCGUCUUGUCAUCAACUCCUGUCAGUUUAUCGAAGCUCCAAAAGCGAAGUUGUUUUAGCUUUUGCUUCCCAAGAUUUAUUUGAUAGUCUCAUUUCUGUUUCCUUCGUUUAUUCUUUAGUUCAUUAUUGGAAAACUUUACAGCGUGCCAGUACUGGUCAUAAACCCCAAGUAAGACAGUCUUGUCAUCACGGAGCGUGUAGUUCCAGCAAGUAGACAAUUCAAGUGCUGUGUAGUGAAGUAAUUGCUGAGAUAGUGUAUGGAAGCACAGAGUACACCAUUCAUCCAACAAGUAAUUGCUGGAGGAGCAAAUAGGGACACCUAACCAUUGCAGGGGCGACUCAGGAUAUCCUUUCUGGAAGAAAAGUCUGAUGAAAUCUGAAGGACCACUGGUUGAAAUUAGCCAGGAAAGAAAAGAUGUUGCAGCAUACUUGGUUUUGCUGUUUAUCCUCCGAGUACUUUAUUGUUAUGAAAGCCUAAUUCCACUGUGUAACUUCCAUGCAUAACACUCAGAAGUACAGUGCUGAAGCAGGUUAGUAGCAGUGAAGAUGGGAAGGACCAGCUGAAUGGAGGAGAAAAAUUGCCCAGGUAGAAUUAAGGGGGAUGUGACAUCAUGGGAUAAUGGUAGGGUGGUCAGAGAGAGCAAAGAUUUCAACUGGCUGCGCUGGAGUUGGUAUCCUUAAUGUUAGCAGAAGAAUGCAGAUCCGGGGUUGAGAAAGAUUUUUACAUAUGUUAUUGUUUUUAGAAAACAAACAAAAAAAAUCUGUUUAUGUCAGGGGCAUUUUAAUAUAGAAGUGUGAAAAAUGGAAAAUCAGUCUGAAAGGGGACGUCUUGAAUGUCGUUUUGAAGGUGUUGCGUUUGAAGUACUGAUGAGAUGCUGUCAGUGGAAACAAACUCAGGUGGGAGGUUAGGUUUAGAAUUUUAUUAUAUUAGUGGUUUUUUUUUUUGUUUUUUUUUUUUUUUUUGAGACGGAGUCUCGCUCUGUCGCCCAGGCUGGAGUGCAGUGGCGCGAUCUCGGCUCACUGCAAGCUUCGCCUCCCGGGUUCACGCCAUUCUCCUGCCUCAGCCUCCCGCGUAGCUGGGACUACAGGCGCCCGCCACCACGCCCGGCUAAUUUUUUGUAUUUUUUUAGUAGAGACGGGGUUUCACUGUGUUAGCCAGGAUGGUCUCGAUCUCCUGACCUCGUGAUCCGCCCGCCUCGGCCUCCCAAAGUGCUGGGAUUACAGGCGUGAGCCACCGCGCCCGGCCUAUAUUAGUGUUAUGGAGUUAUUUAUACAUGGUUUUCCUAUAACGUAGAUUGCUUUCUGUGGUAUGAUAGCAGUCUUGAAAGAAAACACGGUAGUAAAGAUUAUAUGUGAGAUUCAUUCCCCUGAUUACCACCUUUCUGUUAAAAUACCUUUAGUAUUAACUAUUUAUUUAGAGCCGGAGUUUCGCUCUUACUGCCCAGGCUGAUCUCGACUCACCGCAACCUCUGCCUCCCAUGUUCAAGAGAUUCUCCUGCCUCAGCCUCCCAAAUAGAUGGGACUAUAGGCAUGCACCACCACACCUGGCUAAUUUUGUAUUUUUAGUGGAGAUGGGGUUUCUCCAUGUUGGUCAGACUGGUCUCGAACUCCUGACCUCAGGUGAUCUGCCCCCCUCAGCCUCCCAAAGUGCUGGGAUUACAGGCGUAAGCCACUGUCCCCGGCCAACUUUAUUUUUUAUUAUUAUUAUUAUUAUUAUUAUUAAUUAGUUUUGAGACAGAAUCUUGCUGUGUCCCAGGCUGGAGUGCAGUGGCACAAUCUCGGCUCACUGCAACCUCUGUCUCCUGGGUUCAAGCGGUUCUUGUACCUCAUCCUCCCGAGUACAGUAGCUAUGUUACCUAUGUUACGUAAUCCUUACAAUCUUAAAGGACAGGCACAUACCACCACGCUGGGCUCAUUUCAUAAUUUUUAGUGGAAACGGGGUUUCAUUAUGUUGGCCUGCCUGGUCUCCAACUCCUGACCUCAGGUGUUCCACCCGCCUCCGCCUCCCAAAGUGUUGGGAUUACAGGUGUGAGCCACUGCUCCCGGCCAAUAUUAACUUUAAAUGUAAAAUAAUAGAUUAUUUUCCUAGAUUGUACCAUAUAUUGAAUAUUAUGAGAGUCCUUGUGUACUUAGUAUGAGGAUACUAGUUUGCAAUUGUUUUUUCAUUCUAAUUUAAAAGUGCCUCUUUUGAUAGCCUCUGACGUUUUCAUAAGCAGAUCAAAUAGUUUGGUUCAGCAUUUUUUGAAAUUGCAUUUUCUCUUUCAUGCAACUAUCCUUAGCCUGUGGCUACCAUUAUCUGGCUUUGAGAACUUGAUAUGGUAUUAACCUAAGGUCGGAUACAGCUCUUGAGCUCACCUGCAUCAGAAGCACCUGCGUCGUAUUUAAAAUGCAGAUCCCUGAACCCCAUUUCAAGCUUACAAACUAAGAAUCUCAGCAAUCUGUGUUUUAAGUCGGCUGCCUAUGUGAUUUGUAUAACCUCUAGAGAUUCGUAACCACUAACUUAACGUCUGUGGGCAGCAGUUUGUUCUGUAAAACGAGAAUAAUAAAAUCUGUGCUUUAAGAUUGUAAGGAUUAAAUAACAUAGGUAACAUAGCUACUGUAAUGUGGUCCCCUGACCAGCAGCAUUAGCAACACCUGGGAGUUUGUUAGAAAUGGAAAUUCUCAAGUGUCUCCUGGAAAAAGCUACUGAAUCAGAGUAGUUUGGUGGGACCAAAGAAUCUGUAUUUUAGCAACAGCAUAGAUAAUUUCUAUGGGCCAGGCACAGUGGCCCAGGCCUGUAAUCCCAGCACUUAGGGAGGCCUAGGUGGGCGGUGGGAGUUCUAGGUGGGCAGAUUCCAGGAGUUUCUGGGUGACGUGGGGAAACCUGUGUCUACAGAAAAUUAGUCCCAACUACUCAGGAGGCUGAGGUGGGAGGAUCGCCAGAGCCCGGGGAGGUUGAGGCUGCAGUGAGCCAAGAUCACGCCACUGCACUCCAGCCUGUGUGACAGAGUGAGACCCUGUCUCAAAAAAAAAAAAUAAUUUCUAUGCAUAUUAAAGUUUGAGAAGCAGUGCUGUAGCACAUCAGCUUCAUAAAAGUAGGGACUAUGAAAUUCUUAUUUACUAAUAUAUUGUCAGUACCUAGUAUAGUGCCCAGCACAGAGUAGAUAUUCACUAUAUUUAAUGAAUGAUUUUUUAAAUAUACCCUCUUACUGAAACCAACACAUUCAGAGUUUUUAAAGUUCUUCAGUAAUCAAAUACCAAAAGAGAUUUUUAACCCUACAGAAUAAAAUUGGGUAUUUGGGUUACUUAGAAUUAGGACAUCUUUUGCAUGAGUCUAAUAUAGAUGCAAUCAUUUGUGGUGUUCUCUUUCAUAAAUGUAUCUAAUGAAGAAAGCAAAAAUGACAUUUCUAGCCAUUGAUUAUUCUCUUUUCUGUUCCAUUUUAGCUUAGCUUACAAGUGGUUAUGGGUUAAGUGUAAGUGGCAUGUAGCUUGAUGAAAAUGAUGAUCAGGUUAACACCCACUCAGUUUUUGAAAGUAAUCUUUUUGAUUGAUAGAAAUUUAUUUUCAUAUUUAAUUAUAACUUUUUUUUUUAAUUGAGACGAAUUUUGCACUGUCGCCUGGGCUGGAGUGCAAUGGUGUGAUCUAGGCUUACUGCAACCUCCGCCUUCCGGGUUCAAGCGAUUCUCCUGCCUGAGCCUCCCAAGUAGCUGGGAAUUACAGGUGCGUGCCACCACGCUCGGCUCAGUUUUUGUAUUUUGAAUAGAGACGGGGUUUCACUACGUUGGCCAGGCUGGUCUCAAACUCCUGACCUCGUGAUCCACUCGCCUCAGCCUCCCAGAAUGUUGGGAUCACAGGCGUGAGCCACCGCGCCCGGCCUAAUUAUAACUUUUUAAAGAGGUGUUAUAUCAUGUUAAGAUCAAGGACUUGCAGUCAGUCAGAUCUGGAUUUGAGAAUAAUAAAUUGUCAUUUAUUAACCAUGUCAGAGUUUUUCUACCAAACUCUGGGGUAAAUGGUGGGAAGGAACAGAUUUGGGAGCACCAGCACCCCCAGGCCUCCCCUGGCCACCCCAAGGAGCAGGUGAUCAAUAUCUCAGCAUACCUCUACUUAUUUGUGGCACUCCAGUGUGUCUUAGGCCUUAGUGAGCUGUGAGGUGCAUGACCUUAGGUAAGUUACUUCUCUGAUUUUCAGUUUCCUUAUCUGCAAAAUGGAGACCUUAGGGAGUUAAUGUGGGUAUGAGAAAUGUACAUAAAACAUAUUGCACAAGGUGAGGCAUGUAGUGUAUGCUAAUAAAUGGUAAGUUGCUGCUGCUAUGGUUGUUAACAAUAAUUAUAAAAAGCAAAUGGAAAAGGCUUGAAUUGAAAAAAAUUUAGACACAUAGUUUUUUUCCUUAUUAGCCUGCACUGUAUUUUUCAUUUUUUUAAAUGCAUCUUUCCAGGACAAAAAAUAAUAUCCAAAGAUAUUUUGGCGCUAAUGGCGCUAUCUGUAGCAAGAAAGUUGAGCAGUGUGAACUGUUGAGACUUCCAAGAAGACUUCAGAGAACCAAGACAGUGUAAAGGAAAACAGGAAAAAAGACUUGUUAGACAUUAUUAAGGGCACGAAAGUUGAAUUGAGCACAGUAAAUGUACAAACAACAAAGCCACCCAACAGAAGUUCACUUAAAAGCUACAACUGGCGGGCCUCAAAGAGCUACAGAGCAUGCUCCAAAGGAGAAAUGAGCCCCUGAGUCCUGAGUUGGUGGCAGCUGCAUCUGCUGCUCUGUUUUGACAAGCAAACAAGCCAAAACUGCUCAGGCAGCUCCGUAGCAUGAGGAAGAGUCAGGGGCACAGAGAGAUGGAGAGAGACCUAAUUAGGAAAAACAUAUUCAAGGGGAAGAGAUGUAAUAGUUUUGACGUGACGACAGUUACUAAAGAAGCACCUGAACAGACACAUCACCUUCACUUUGGGAUGUGGAAUUUGCUAAGUAAGCCACAGAAAAUGAACAUCCCUUCAGAAUGGGUUUGAAGAGCUGAUCCAGUGGAUUAAAGAGGGGAAACUGGGAGUUCCCAAUUAACAAUGAAGCAGGAGCUGACUAAGGCUUUGGAACAGAAACCAGAUGAUGCACAAUAUUAUUGUCAAAGAGCUUAUUGUCACAUUCUUCUUGGGAGUUACUGUGGAUCUGUAAAUAACUGACGAAAAACCCAUCUGUUUCUACGUAGUUGCUGUUGCCGACACAAAGAAGUCUUGUGAACUCAAUCCAAAUAAUUCCACUGCUAUGUUGAGAAAAGGGGGCUGGCGGCAUGGAGUCUUGCUCUGUCACCCAUCCUUGAGUGCAAUGGCACCAUCUUAGUUCACUGGAGCCUUGAAUUCCAGGGCUCGAGCCAUCCUUCUGCCUCUGCUUCCUGAGUAGGUGGGACUACAGGCAUGUGCCACCAUACUGAGCUAAUUUGUUAAACAUUUUUUUUUGUAGAGACGAGGUCUUGCUACGUUUCCCAGACUGGUCUCUGAACUCCCGGCCUCAAGUGAUCCUACUGCCUUGGACUCCCAAAGUACUGGCAUAAUAGACAUGAGCCACUGCACCUGGCUCCUAAGUUCUUUUCUUGAAUAAUAUCUUUCUUUUCUUUUUUUUUAUUUUUUGAGGUGGAGUCUCACCCUGUUGCCCAGGCUGGAGUGCAAUAGCGUGAUCUCGGCUUACUGCAACUUCUACCUCCCGGGUUCAAGUGAUUCUCCUGCCUCAGCCUCCUGAAUAGCUAGGAUUACAGGUGUGCGCUACCACGCCUGGCUAAUUUUUUGUAUCUUUAGUAGAGAUGGGGUUUCACCAUGUUGGCCAGGCUUGUCUCAAACUCUUGACCUCGUGAUCCACCUGCCUUGGCCUCCCAAAGUGUUGGGAUUACAGGCGUGAGCCACCACGCCUGGCCAAGUAAUAUCUUAGUAUCAUGCCAUUGACAUUUAUCCUCUAAUUAUUUCAGAGGUGGCCUUCAGAAGGAGGCCUCUUUGGUAAAAUUGCUAUUGAGGAUAUUUCACUGAAAAAUUUAUCUUUAAAUUUAAAUCCAGGAAAAAUUUAAACUUUUAGGCUUCUAUUUUUAUCAGACAGGGUAAAAAAUUUAUGACUCAGAAUAUUACCUUUUCCCCUCUGUGUGUGAUGGAUUGCUUGAUUUUAGUUACUGAUUAUUUAAAAUAAUAAGUUAUUCAAAUCUAGGAUUUUGAUACAAUAGUUCUUCUCUAGAAUAUAGUGUGUGUGUGAGAGUAUAUUUAAAAUUUUUAUUAAGGCCCAUGGGGCAGCCUUUGAGGAAACCAGACCUUGGGGAUCGCCAGGCAGGAUUAGUGGCAGGAAUUGAGAGAACAGAGCCCCGCAGAGCUCGUCGGGGACCGUCCCCCAGUCACAAGAGUAUCUCAAGGAAGUAGUCUUCUCCCACAUUCCCCAAAGAUAGCUACCAGAGGGUCAGUCCUCUGAACCCUUCUCAGUGUAGAAAAGACAAGUGUCAAAGCUUCCCCACUCAUCCUAAGUUUGCCUUCUAUGACAAUAUGUCACUUGGCCUCACUGAGGCUGAGCAGAGGAUGCUGGACCUCCCAGGAUAUUUUGGGUCAAAUGAAGAGGAUGAAACCACAAGUACACUUAGCGUGGAGAAGCUGGUGAUCUAGCCUGAGAAUCAGCCUGAGCUUUACACAGCUAGGGUCUGCUACUCGCGUUUUGUAGACUUUUGUGUAACUAUUUGUACCGUAGGACAGAAUGUGAGGAGGAAGUAACACACAGAGGAGGAUGUGUGUGUAUGCAUGUGUUUGAAUUCACAAGGAAGAAAUUAUUUAUCUUGAGCUUUUUCCUUUGUUAUUCAGUUUUUAUUGGUUUAUUACUAAUAAUGAUAAUAAAAUGUAAACAAGAGCAAA
This is a long non-coding RNA of Gorilla gorilla gorilla (western lowland gorilla), 6882 nucleotides long. RefSeq lists it as uncharacterized. Lineage: Eukaryota; Metazoa; Chordata; Mammalia; Primates; Hominidae. The transcript has 7 exons. The record is from RefSeq and is a predicted model, not a curated record.